AGCAAAGAACAAAGGAAAAAAAAAGGAAAGAAAAACCAUGGGAGAAGAAGAGAAAAGGAACGAAAAUUUUGCUCUUUUCUUGGCACGGUUUUGCUGCACUUUGAGGGAGGAAAAGAGAGCUUUUUGCUGCAAUUUUUGGAGGAAGAAAAAGCUAAAAAUUUUGAGGAAAGUUUGUCGUGGAGGCGUGCCGAAUGAAAUAUGUGACCGACAAAUAGGAAUAAUUAUAUACGCGUACGAAUCAAUAGUGAAGUAAUAUCUCACUAUUAUGAGAUAGGGAUUAGCCUAGUGUGUAGUCAGUGACGCGUUUGGUCCACCAUGAAUAGGUAAAGGCAUCUCCUAGCAUUUUAUUCCAAGUCGCUCCACUGUUAGAGGUCAAGUCGUAGCAUUUUAUUUAUUAAGUUGUAAACGAAUUCUAAAUUUUUAUA
Non-coding RNA from Theobroma cacao (cacao), 425 nucleotides. The record is from RefSeq and is a predicted model, not a curated record. Lineage: Eukaryota; Viridiplantae; Streptophyta; Magnoliopsida; Malvales; Malvaceae.